RNAcentral lists this ribosomal RNA (440 nucleotides) under uncultured bacterium. RNAcentral's name for it is "partial 16S ribosomal RNA". It matches the Rfam family "Bacterial small subunit ribosomal RNA", at positions 338 to 795 of the family's 1533-position model. The record is from RNAcentral.
CCUACGGGAGGCAGCAGUGGGGAAUAUUGCACAAUGGGCGAAACCCUGAUGCAGCGACGCCGCGUGAGUGAAGAAGUAAUUCGUUAUGUAAAGCUCUAUCAGCCGGGAAGAAAAUGACGGUACCUGAGUAAGAAGCCCCGGCUAACUACGUGCCAGCAGCCGCGGUAAUACGUGGGGGACAAGCGUUAUCCGGAUUUACUGGGUGUAAAGGGGGCGUAGACGGCAGUGCAAGGCUGGAGUGAAAGGCGGGGGCUCAACCCCCGGACUGCUCUGGAAACUGUACGGCUGGAGUGCAGGAGAGGUAAGUGGAAUUCCUGGUGUAGCGGUGAAAUGCGUAGAUAUUAGGAGGAACACCAGUGGCGAAGGCGGCAUACUGGACUGUAACUGACGUUGAGGCUCGAAAGCGUGGGGAGCAAACAGGAUUAGAUACCCUAGUAGUC